RNAcentral lists this unclassified non-coding RNA (268 nucleotides) under uncultured fungus. RNAcentral describes it as "partial contains small subunit ribosomal RNA, internal transcribed spacer 1, and 5.8S ribosomal RNA". The stretch from base 1 to 73 matches the Rfam family "Eukaryotic small subunit ribosomal RNA", at positions 1759 to 1831 of the family's 1831-position model. Lineage: Eukaryota; Fungi. The record is from RNAcentral.
GCAAACUUGGUCAUUUAGAGGAAGUAAAAGUCGUAACAAGGUUUCCGUAGGUGAACCUGCGGAAGGAUCAUUAACAAAUCCCCACCGGUGCUCGCUCCCGUGCAUUCGUUGCAGUGCGCGAGGGCGACACUUGCUCCAUGUGUGCAGCACACGCUGUUGCGCACGUUGGCACAUUUCUGCGAAUCCGUCUGAUUGUUGUUGCUGAAUGCGGACACGAAUGACUUUUAACAAUGGAUCUCUAGGCUCCUGCAUCGAUGAAGAACGCAGC